This 398-nucleotide ribosomal RNA is filed under the name uncultured bacterium. Its description in RNAcentral is "bacterial SSU rRNA". It matches the Rfam family "Bacterial small subunit ribosomal RNA", at positions 358 to 773 of the family's 1533-position model. The record is from RNAcentral.
GGAAUCUUGGACAACGGGGGCAACCCUGAUCCAGCGACGCCGCGUGGGUGAUGAAGGCCUUCGGGUUGUAAAGCCCUUUCACCGGGGACGAUGAUGACGGUACCCGGAGACGAAACACCGGCUCACUCCGUUCCAGCCGCCGCGGUAAGACGGAGGGUGCUAGCGUUGUUCGGAAUCACUGGGCGUAAAGGGCGCGUAGGCGGCGUCGCAAGUCGGCUGUGAAAGCCCGGGGCUCAACCCCGGAGGUGCAGCCGAGACUGCGGUGCUCGAGUCCGGAAGAGGAGGGUGGAAUACCCAGUGUAGAGGUGAAAUUCGUAGAUAUUGGGUGGAACACCGGUGGCGAAAGCGGCUCUCUGGUCCGGCACUGACGCUGAGGCGCGAAAGCGUGGGGAUCAAAC